GUGUCAGCAGCCGCGGUAAUACAGAGGUCCCAAGCGUUGUUCGGAUUCACUGGGCGUAAAGGGUGCGUAGGUGGCCAGGUAAGUUUGGUGUGAAAGCUCGGAGCUUAACUUCGAAAAGGCAUUGAAUACUACUUGGCUGGAGGAUCGGAGGGGAGACUGGAAUUCUCGGUGUAGCAGUGAAAUGCGUAGAUAUCGAGAGGAACACCAGUGGCGAAGGCGAGUCUCUGGACGAAUCCUGACACUGAGGCACGAAAGCUAGGGGAGCAAACAGGAUUAGAUACCCUGGUAGUCCUAGCUGUAAACGGUGCACGUUUGCUGUAAGAGGAAUCGACCCCUUUUGUGGCGAAGCUAACGCGCUAAACGUGCCGCCUGGGGAGUACGGUCGCAAGAUUAAA
This 395-nucleotide ribosomal RNA is filed under the name uncultured bacterium. Its description in RNAcentral is "bacterial SSU rRNA". It matches the Rfam family "Bacterial small subunit ribosomal RNA", at positions 505 to 898 of the family's 1533-position model. The record is from RNAcentral.